GCCUACCAAGGCAUCGAUCAGUAGCUGGUCUGAGAGGACGACCAGCCACACUGGAACUGAGACACGGUCCAGACUCCUACGGGAGGCAGCAGUGGGGAAUUUUGGACAAUGGGCGAAAGCCUGAUCCAGCAAUGCCGCGUGAGUGAAGAAGGCCUUCGGGUUGUAAAGCUCUUUUGUCAGGGAAGAAACGGUGAAAGCUAAUAUCUUUUGCUAAUGACGGUACCUGAAGAAUAAGCACCGGCUAACUACGUGCCAGCAGCCGCGGUAAUACGUAGGGUGCAAGCGUUAAUCGGAAUUACUGGGCGUAAAGCGUGCGCAGGCGGUUUUGUAAGUCUGAUGUGAAAUCCCCGGGCUCAACCUGGGAAUUGCAUUGGAGACUGCAAGGCUAGAAUCUGGCAGAGGGGGGUAGAAUUCCACGUGUAGCAGUGAAAUGCGUAGAUAUGUGGAGGAACACCGNAUGGCGAAGGCAGCCCCCUGGGUCAAGAUUGACGCUCAUGCACGAAAGCGUGGGGAGCAAACAGGAUUAGAUACCCUGGUAGUCCACGCCCUAAACGACGUCUACUAGUUGUCGGGUCUUAAUUGACUUGGUAACGCAGCUAACGCGUGAAGUAGACCGCCUGGGGAGUACGGUCGCAAGAUUAAAACUCAAAGGAAUUGACGGGGACCCGCACAAGCGGUGGAUGAUGUGGAUUAAUUCGAUGCAACGCGAAAAACCUUACCUACCCUUGACAUGGCUGGAAUCCUUGAGAGAUUGAGGAGUGCUCGAAAGAGAACCAGUACACAGGUGCUGCAUGGCUGUCGUCAGCUCGUGUCGUGAGAUGUUGGGUUAAGUCCCGCAACGAGCGCAACCCUUGUCAUUAGUUGCUACGAAAGGGCACUCUAAUGAGACUGCCGGUGACAAACCGGAGGAAGGUGGGGAUGACGUCAAGUCCUCAUGGCCCUUAUGGGUAGGGCUUCACACGUCAUACAAUGGUACAUACAGAGCGCCGCCAACCCGCGAGGGGGAGCUAAUCGCAGAAAGUGUAUCGUAGUCCGGAUUGUAGUCUGCAACUCGACUGCAUGAAGUUGGAAUCGCUAGUAAUCGCGGAUCAGCAUGUCGCGGUG
This 1104-nucleotide ribosomal RNA is filed under the name uncultured Janthinobacterium sp. RNAcentral describes it as "bacterial SSU rRNA". It matches the Rfam family "Bacterial small subunit ribosomal RNA", at positions 263 to 1364 of the family's 1533-position model. The record is from RNAcentral. Lineage: Bacteria; Pseudomonadati; Pseudomonadota; Betaproteobacteria; Burkholderiales; Oxalobacteraceae.